UUUUUUUUUUGGAUUUAGCUCUAGCAUGUUUUGCGACCAAUUAAUUACAUCAAGAUUGGAAGUUGUUAUUAUCACUAGCUAACACUCAAACUAGUCCAAUUCUCACUAAACUUCACAAUUCUUAGUAGAAUUCUCAUCAAUUGCGUACCUAUUGUUCCUAGUGAUAAAGGUUCGUAUAUUAUUCUUCAUGAAGUGGUUCUUUUACCAAACCAAAAUCCCCGACUGGGUUUCAGAAGCUGCUUUAAAAGUGCCAUUUUGGGAACAUUCCAGUGUUCUACAUGCCUGAAAUGUUUCGGCAGCCAAAUAAAUUGAGAGUGAAAUAAUAAUAUUGAAAAGAUAGAAUAAAGUCUGUCCCAAUCCCAUUAUGUUUACCUGCAUACUCUUCCAGAUUGUGCAUCAAAAUAGUACUCUGUAUAUCCAGUAGCUGCAAUAUAACUUAACAGAGUCAGGUCUAAUCAGCUAAGCAUCUGGACUUACAUUAUCAUAUGGUAUGGCUAUAAAUUGUUGAAAUCUUGAAGCUAUGGACAGCAAAAUUUUUAGAAGAAAUCCAUUCAUAGUAAAACCCAUUUUAUUGUGUUAUAUUUUUCUACAGAAUUUCAUUUUUGAUUUUGAUGCAACCACAGGUUCUUGAUCUUACUAUAUAGGAACAUUUUAAGGGAAUACCAGUUAUUUACAGCAAAAGGGUAGCAUUAUUUACUUGUAAACUGUCUCUUAUGAUAAGUUUAACGUAAGAUCAUGGAGCAUACCAGAAAGAAUAGGCCUCCAAGGAAAUGACAUGAUACAGCUAAAUCUCCAAUGUCCAAUUCCCUUAUCCUGGUAACCAAACAAAUUUUUGGUGUCAAGAGUUCUCUAAGGGAAAACACUGCAAAUAUAAAAAGGAAAUCCCUGAGGUGAAACGUGCUUAGUUCUGUUGAUCAUAAUGCCUAAAACUCCAUGUUCUCACCUCAUAAUCUUCCCACUUGGUAAGCUUCAUAUUUGACUUUUCAAUAAGCAAUCCAAAAUUUGUACAGUUUCUCUUGAAACGUGCAAGUCCUCUAAAGGAACCAGCAGGAUCGGCAAAUUCACAAUCCUCUUCAUAUGCAUUGAGUGUGAGAUUUCCUAAUCAUUGGAAAAGAAUGAUUAUGUCGCCUAACACAUUAAUCAUGGAGCAGAAACUUCCCAAAUCACGAAAUUUUGGAAUUGGAUUUAUCUCAUAAGAACCAGUUUCUCCUAAAACGUACAAUACUCUGUUUGUGAUGAAGCACAGACCCAAAUCAACAGAUAAAAAGAAAAAACGAGGAAAAUUUGUAGUGAAAUGUAAAUGGCAAUUCCCAAAAACCUGUAACGAAAUACGAUCUUUGGAAAUCCUCUUUGAUGACGUCCACAACCAUGGCACGUUCAAUGCUUCCUAACCCGUCAGCACCAAGCGUGCGUUCCCCUUGGGGAGCUUCAGUAGUUGAAGGUGAACGGAAAAAUGAAGCGGCGAUUCCAAGAAGCUCAGAGCCGUACCAAGCUAGCUUCAGAACGGCAUUCUCAGGUUCGGAUUCUUGUCUGGCAGGCGAAUUGCCUGAUGGAUUCUUCCCGUUACAACAGAUUAUAUUGAUUUUCCCAUGAUAAUUUGGCGGGAAAAUGAUGGUUCGAUGGUGGGAAUUUAGACGGGGAGUGCUGGAAGAGUAGGAGAAAGAGCUCGCCAUUUAGAAUUUGAGACUCGAGGAGAGAGAGAGAGAGAGAG
Molecule: unclassified non-coding RNA, 1711 nt
Filed under: Hevea brasiliensis (rubber tree)
Lineage: Eukaryota; Viridiplantae; Streptophyta; Magnoliopsida; Malpighiales; Euphorbiaceae
Source: RNAcentral